Molecule: ribosomal RNA, 274 nt
Filed under: uncultured bacterium
Lineage: Bacteria
Description: partial 16S ribosomal RNA
Rfam family: Bacterial small subunit ribosomal RNA
Source: RNAcentral
AUACGGAGGGUGCAAGCGUUGUUCGGAAUCACUGGGCGUAAAGGGCGCGCAGGCGGUUUGAUUAGUCAGAUGUGAAAGCCCACGGCUUAACCGUGGAAGUGCAUUUGAAACUGUCAGACUCGAGUAUCAGAGGGGAAAGUGGAAUUCCCGGUGUAGAGGUGAAAUUCGUAGAUAUCGGGAGGAAUACCGGUGGCGAAGGCGACUUUCUGGCUGAAUACUGACGCUGAGGCGCGAAAGCGUGGGGAGCAAACAGGAUUAGAAACCCCGGUAGUCC